This 72-nucleotide transfer RNA is filed under the name Camelus bactrianus (Bactrian camel). It matches the Rfam family "tRNA". From Rfam's summary of the family: Transfer RNA (tRNA) molecules are approximately 80 nucleotides in length. Their secondary structure includes four short double-helical elements and three loops (D, anti-codon, and T loops). Lineage: Eukaryota; Metazoa; Chordata; Mammalia; Artiodactyla; Camelidae. RNAcentral also lists the same sequence under 3 other names. The record is from Rfam by way of RNAcentral.
GAGGGUAUAGCUCAGUGGUAAAACAUGUGCUUAGCGUGCAUGAGAUCCUGGGUUCAAUCCCCAGUACUGCCA